This is a non-coding RNA of Hydra vulgaris (swiftwater hydra), 2765 nucleotides long. NCBI's taxonomy places the organism in Eukaryota, Metazoa, Cnidaria, Hydrozoa, Anthoathecata, Hydridae. The record is from RefSeq and is a predicted model, not a curated record.
UUUUAGACGUUAUGUUACUUAGUUUUUUAUUUAAUUUUCAAAACUAUUUUAUAAUAACAGUUACAAUCUUUUAUGUUCACAUUUUAAUUUUAAUUAUCCAUUUGUAUUGCUAAAUUGGUGUUAUUAUUUAAAAAAAUAAAUCAUUCUAUAGUAUAGAAUUAGCAAAGUUAGUGAUUUUCAUAUUUAGUUUUUAGUAUAUUUAUCAAUAGAUUAUAUAGUAUAAUGGUUAAGUGUAAUGAUGUGUGGUUUGAAAAGAAAGUCAGUGUCUGAUCUAAGAUUUUCAAAAACUGCUUGUCAUUUAUAUGUAGAUUCUAACAAAAACUCUAUUAGAGCAGAAAAAGUUAUACAAUUAGAGUUAUCUAUAAAUGAAAAAAUUUCUGCUGCAGAAGCUAUGUGGCUUUUUAAAGUGGCAGAGAAUGAUCUUGUCUUAAGACAUUGUGACAACACACCAAUAUUGUUCCAAAGAAUGUUUCCAGAUGAUAAAAUAAGUCAAGGUUUUACUAUGAGUCGGCAAAAAGCUUCAUAUAUUUUGCAAGAUUGCCUUGGGUCAUUGUCGGAAAAGCUUUUAUGUAAUAGUAUCACAUUAAGUCAAGGUGCAUUCACUUUAAUGUUUGAUGAAACAACUACUUCACAACAAAGAAAACAAAUGGAUCUUUUAUGUCGUUUUUGGUCAGAAGACGAAAACCAAGUUGUUACAAAAUAUUUAACAUCGCUGUUCUUUGGCAGAGCAACAGCAGAAGAUGUCAAAACAAUGCUAGCAGAUUUGCUAGCAUUUUAUUUGCCAUGGGAUCGUCUUUUUAAUAUUUCAGCAGAUGGUCCUAAUAAUAACAAAGCCAUUUGGAGAUUGUUAAAUGCUGAUCUUCAUAGCAAUGGUUUUAAUGGCUUGUUACCAUUUGUAAGUUACACUUUGCACACAGUGCAUAAUGCUUUUCGAAAAAAAGCAAUUAAUGUUGUCGGUGAGGGUGCUGAGCAGCUUGCAUUUGAUUUACAUACCUGGUUCAAGGUAAUGAUUUGAGUAAUUUUAUACAGUAGAAUCCCAUUAAUUCAGACCCCGGAUAAGUUGGAUGUGUACCAAGUCGGACAGAUUUUCAAUUCCCCUUGAGCUUUCUAUACAUACAAAAGCUUAGCUUAUUUGGACAUUCGCUAAGUCGGACUAUUUAUCUAUUCCCUGUGAGAGUCUAACUUAAUGGGAUUUUUCUGCAGAUAAUACUAAAAGAAAAUUUUUUAUUUUACCUAUGAAGUUAAUUUUCUUACAUUAUUAUUAUUUUUUAUUCUAAUAGUCUAUUAUACGACUAGCUAAUAAAGUGUAGUGUCUCUAUAUAAUUUUUUUUUUUUUCUGUUUUAGAAUGCACCCUGUAAAAUAGAAGAUUUUAAAAAAUUAUUAGAGAAUUGAUUAUUUUAGGAGUUACUUGUGUCUAUCAAAUUCCUUAUUGGUUUAGCUCCCUUGUUUGAGAAAUACUUGACAAUAUUUCAAGAUGAAGGACCACUUGUUCAUAUUUUAUUUUAUACAAUGAAAAAUCUUUUAAUAUCUUUAAUGAAAUGUUUCCUUCAACCGACUGCUGUUAAUGGAAAGCUUACCAAAGAUCUUUUAAAAUUGAUUUUUCCGAUUCAGCUAUCCACCUUGAUUUGAAUAAAAUAGACUUUGGCGAGGAACCUAAAAAAAAAAGGUGAACAAAAUAUCAUGUGAAAAAAAAAGAUUAGUCUGCUUACAGCAAAUGAGAGAUGGAUAUAUAUCUGUUGUAAAACACUUGCUAAAAAAACUUUCACUUGAUUUGCAGAUAUUAAAAGAUAUGACUUGUUUGGGUGCUCAAAUGAGAUCAGAACCUUGGACUGUUAAUGCAAUUGGGCGAAUAGCAGUUACGAUGCCACAUGUAAUUACGGAAAGGGAGGUAUCAUUUGUGAAAGAUGAAUGGAAAUUAUACCAAGCAGCUAAUAUAUCAAAAGACUGGUAUAUAGAUUCUGAUACAAAAAAAUUAAAAAGAGUAGACCAUUAUUGGGCUAAAGUUUUUAAAAGUAGCAAUGAAUAUGGAAAAACAAAGUAUGGGUAUCUCAGUAAAGUUGUUAAGAGCUGUUUAACAAGUCAGAAUGGAAAUGCCAAUGCUAAGCGAAGUUUAUCUGAUAACAAAAAUACAUUGACUCAUGAGAGAGUAAAUCUAAAUGAUAAAACAUUAAUGGCUUUGAGAAUAUCAAAAGAAUAUGCAAGAAGUUGCAGAGGAUAUAAUGUUGAUGCACUCUCCAAAGACGUUGUUCAAGCUGUUCAAAAUGCUCAUAGAAUAUAUAAAAAAAGAAAAGCUGAAGAAGACGAAGAAAAAAAAAAAUUAUAUUCAUGAGCAAGAACUAAUGAAUAAAGAAAAAGAACAGAAAGAAAUGCUUGAAAAAGUUGAAAAUAAAAAUAAAAAUUUAGAUCAACAGGAAAAAAUUCUAAAGAAUGAUGAAAAAAAUGCAGAUCUUGGGUUUCAGCUUGCUCAGAGAAUGCUCAAUGAAGCAGCAAAAUCUAUGCAAAGUGCCAUUAUUAAGGAAGACAUGAUGGGUAUAAAAAUUGCCCAUGAAAUGGUAAACGGCGCAAAAAGAAGUCUUGAAAAUGCUACAUCUCAUAGAAAUGAACAGAAAAAGUUGGUUUAAAACGUAAAAGUGAAAUGGAUAGAUUAAUUAAGCGUUGCAAAAAAUUAAAGUAGUUGUUAAAAGUUUAAAAGUUUUUGUAAAUAUAAUAGAGCUUGAACUGUUAGUUCAGUUAUAAUUAGUUAGCAAAAUUUAUUUAUUUAUGU